This is a long non-coding RNA of Neopelma chrysocephalum (saffron-crested tyrant-manakin), 323 nucleotides long. RefSeq lists it as uncharacterized. The transcript is spliced from 3 exons. Lineage: Eukaryota; Metazoa; Chordata; Aves; Passeriformes; Pipridae. The record is from RefSeq and is a predicted model, not a curated record.
CUGUGAUUCUGUCUUCUCAAAGACAUGUAAAGUCAGAGGUGCCCAAAGGAGCAGCCAACGGAGAAAUUUGCAAAAACUCUGGUACAAAGUACUGAAAAAAGAGGCUUCUUUGGAAGACAACUGCAGUAGUGGUCCAUGGAAAAGCCAAAACCCACAGGAAAAGCUGGCCUUCAGUCCCCACCCGGGGACUGCACCUGGAUCAGGAAGGAGAUGCAGCAUCCCAUCUUUUACAGGGAUGAACACAACUUUCAGGCAAAGAGACAGUGGAUACAUGACAGAUGUAAAGAAUACAAGUUACCCCUCAGGACAUCUAAUAAAAUAAA